RNAcentral lists this ribosomal RNA (259 nucleotides) under uncultured bacterium. RNAcentral's name for it is "partial 16S ribosomal RNA". It matches the Rfam family "Bacterial small subunit ribosomal RNA", at positions 30 to 289 of the family's 1533-position model. The record is from RNAcentral.
UUGAACGCUGGCGGCAUGCUUUACACAUGCAAGUCGAACGGCAGCGCGGGCUUCGGCCUGGCGGCGAGUGGCGAACGGGUGAGUAAUGCAUCGGAACGUGCCCAGUAGUGGGGGAUAGCCCGGCGAAAGCCGGAUUAAUACCGCAUACGACCUGAGGGUGAAAGCGGGGGACCGAAAGGCCUCGCGCUAUUGGAGCGGCCCGAUGUCGGAUUAGCUAGUUGGUGGGGUAAGGGCUUACCAAGGCGACGGUCCGUAGCUG